Long non-coding RNA from Carassius carassius (crucian carp), 285 nucleotides. RefSeq lists it as uncharacterized. The record is from RefSeq and is a predicted model, not a curated record. Lineage: Eukaryota; Metazoa; Chordata; Actinopteri; Cypriniformes; Cyprinidae. The transcript is spliced from 3 exons.
CAUGUCGAAAGUGAAAGUUUAGAGGUUCAGUAUUUAGUCUCUGUGAGCAGCAGAGAGAGUCAGAGAGUCUGAACUCAGACUGUGAACACACACAGAGCUCGGGAGAGAAAUAACUCUCUCUGAAUGGGAAAAUAUCUCCUUUAAUAAUCCAUAACCAGCUAUGGGCAAAUCUUCAAAAUCAACCAUGAAUGCUGUAUUUGCUGUGCAACUGUUCAUUCUGGUUUGGACCUUUACUGCUGUCUGUCAAGAUGAUGAAGAUGUCAGUGUAAGCUGUGAUGAUGUGAC